This is a long non-coding RNA of Scylla paramamosain (green mud crab), 416 nucleotides long. RefSeq lists it as uncharacterized. The transcript is spliced from 3 exons. Lineage: Eukaryota; Metazoa; Arthropoda; Malacostraca; Decapoda; Portunidae. The record is from RefSeq and is a predicted model, not a curated record.
AGAGGUGAACCAGGCCAACACAAGACAGAUGGGAUGCAAGAACACUGUUGACACAUCAAUACUUCAUACAAGGCAAUAAAGCGGCUACCACCACCAUGACCACCAUGACCACCACCACCACCAUGACCACCGCCACCACCACCACCACCACCACCACCACCACCACCACCACCACCACCACCACAGCACUCAGCGUGGCACAGAAGGAACAGAGCCAGGCGGAAAACAAGGACUAAGAUCCACUGCCACUUCCAAAUAAGAGGUGAACCAGGCCAACACAAGACAGAUGGGAUGCAAGAACACUGUUGACACAUCAAUACUUCAUACAAGGCAAUAAAGCGGUAUGUAUCAUCAUGCUUUAGUGUAUGAGAGCAUUGUAUAAGCCACAACACAUACAUACACUGCCAUGUACACCC